GAGCAGAGGACUGGAAACAGUGCUGGAUGUCUGGCUUAAAACAACACCACUUAUCAUCUUAUCAUCUCUGGGUCAGACCAGAUGUGGCUCAGCUCACUCAGCUCAGGAUCUCUGGUAAGGCCACAGUCAAGGCGCCAGCUGGGGCCACGGUCAUCUCAAGGUUCAACUGAGCCGGGAUUCUCUUCCACUCUCACUCAGUGGCUGGACGUGGGAUUCAGUCCCUCAUGGAGGGCUGAACUAAGAGCCUCAGCUCCUCCCUGACGAUAGGCCAGAGCCUGACCACCCUCAGUUUCUCAACACAUGAGCCCAUCCAUGAAGCAGUUCCUGACAUGGCAGCCAGCUUGACCAGACUUAGCAAGUGAGAGAAACAAGAGAGUGCCCAGAGGAGAAAGUCACAGCCUUUCAUGAGCUAAUACCCGAAGUGACAUCCCAUCCCCCCUGCAGAAUUCUGUUGGUUAAAGGCGAGACCCCAGGACCAGCCCACACUCCAGGGAUGAGGAUCACACAAGGGCAUGGACUCCAGGAGGCAGGGACCACCGGGAACCAUUCGAAGGCUGCCUACCAAGAGUCUGAAAUAAAACCAGAGUGCCUUCACUGGCAAACUUCAACCCUGGACCACACGGGGAAAGGGUUCUGGGAAUUGUAGUUCCUGCUUCUCCGCUGUAACAUACAAGGGAUCUUAGAUGGAGACGGGGGUGAUGCCCACGUGAUUCAGACGGUCCAGCAUGGUGCACCAGGAUCCACAGACAACUCUUUACCCAUAUUUAACUUCCAAAAACAGGCAGUAAGAACAUCACGCUUCUGCAUAACGUGAUCCAACUCCCCCUCAACCAAAGGCAGCUGUGCUCGCUCUUUCCCAAGGCCCAGCUCUCUCUCCAAUGUCUCAUUUAUCUCUUAGCCGUUCCCAGCCCAGUCACAACUCCCCUGUAACAUCUUAUAACAUAAAUGUUGAAUCAAACAUACCUUGUGUUAGAUGGAGAAGAUUGGGAAACGAGAAAGAGUUAAAAAAAAAGAGAAGGAAAACGGUCAAAGAGCAAGCCAAUUUUUGGAAGAAUGUUUUUAUGAGCAGCUUCCCAUUUAAUGAUGUAUUUCAAACUAAGAUGUCCC
This 1107-nucleotide long non-coding RNA is filed under the name Equus caballus (horse). Its description in RNAcentral is "lncRNA (ENSECAG00000047677.1)". The record is from RNAcentral. Lineage: Eukaryota; Metazoa; Chordata; Mammalia; Perissodactyla; Equidae.